UUUUUCACAUUUUACCCAAAAUUCCCAUUUUCAGAUUUUUACCCCAAAUUCCCAUUUUUCACAUUUUGCCCAAAAUUCCCAUUUCCACAUUUUGCCCCAAAUUCCCAUUUCUGCAUUUUUGCCCCAAAUUCCCAUUUUUUGCAUUUUUGCCCCAAAUUCCCAUUUUUGGAUUUUUGCCCCAAAUUCCCAUUUUUGCCCCAAAUUCCCAUUUUUGCCCCAAAAUCCCAUUUAUUGGAUUUUUGCCCCAAAUUCCCGUUUUUGCCCCAAAUUCCCAUUUUUCACAUUUUGCCCCAAAAUUCCCAUUUUGCCCAAAAUUCCCAUUUUUGCAUUUUACCCAAAAUUUCCAUUUUCGGAUUUUUGCCCCAAAUUCCCAUUUUUCACAUUUUGCCCCAAAUUCCCAUUUCCGCAUUUUUGCCCCAAAUUCCCAUUUUUUGUAUUUUUGCCCCAAAUUCCCAUUUUUCACAUUUUGCCCCAGAAUUCCCAUUUUUUUUGCAUUUUUGCCCCAAAUUCCCAUUUUUGCCCCAAAUUCCCAUUUUCACAUUUUGCCCCAAAUUCCCAUUUUCACUUUUUUGCCCCAAAUUCCCAUUUUUUGCCCCAAAUUCCCAUUUUUUUGCAGUUUUGCCCCAAAUUCCCAUUUUUCACAUUUCGCCCCAAAUUCCCAUUUCCGCAUUUUUGCCCCAAAUUCCCAUUUUUGCCCCAAAAUCCCAUUUCCCCAUUUUUGCCCCAAAUUCCCAUUUUUGCCCCAAAUUCCCAUUUUUGCCCCAAAAUUCCCAUUUUUGCCCCAAAUUCCCAUUUUUGCCCCAUUUUUGGAUUUCCCCGGCGCUGACCGGGGUUGAAGAGGAUGAUGGCCCGGAGGCAGCCGAGCUCCGUCUUGUCCAUCCUCAUGUCCCUCAUCUUGGACACCAGCUCUGUCAGAACCCUGAAAAAUCCAAAAUUUACCAAAAUUUACCAAAAUUCAUCAAAUUCCAGAAAUUCCCAACAUUCCCCAAAAAUUCCCAACAAAAAUUCAC
RNAcentral lists this long non-coding RNA (1010 nucleotides) under Zonotrichia albicollis (white-throated sparrow). Its description in RNAcentral is "lncRNA (ENSZALG00000001775.1)". The record is from RNAcentral. Lineage: Eukaryota; Metazoa; Chordata; Aves; Passeriformes; Passerellidae.